This 502-nucleotide ribosomal RNA is filed under the name uncultured bacterium. Its description in RNAcentral is "bacterial SSU rRNA". It matches the Rfam family "Bacterial small subunit ribosomal RNA", at positions 11 to 507 of the family's 1533-position model. The record is from RNAcentral.
GUUUGAUCAUGGCUCAGAUUGAACGCUGGCGGCAUGCCUUACACAUGCAAGUCGAACGGCAGCACGGGAGCUUGCUCCUGGUGGCGAGUGGCGAACGGGUGAGUAAUACAUCGGAACGUACCCUGAAGUGGGGAUAACGUAGCGAAAGUUACGCUAAUACCGCAUAUUCUGUGAGCAGGAAAGAGGGGGAUCGCAAGACCUCUUGCUUUAGGAGCGGCCGAUGUCGGAUUAGCUAGUUGGUGAGGUAAAGGCUCACCAAGGCGACGAUCCGUAGCGGGUCUGAGAGGAUGAUCCGCCACACUGGGACUGAGACACGGCCCAGACUCCUACGGGAGGCAGCAGUGGGGAAUUUUGGACAAUGGGCGCAAGCCUGAUCCAGCCAUGCCGCGUGAGUGAAGAAGGCCUUCGGGUUGUAAAGCUCUUUCGGUGGGGAAGAAAUUGCUUCGGUUAAUACCUGGAGUAGAUGACGGUACCCGCAUAAGAAGCACCGGCUAACUACGUG